Molecule: ribosomal RNA, 160 nt
Filed under: uncultured bacterium
Lineage: Bacteria
Description: partial 16S ribosomal RNA
Rfam family: Bacterial small subunit ribosomal RNA
Source: RNAcentral
UGGGGAAUAUUGGACAAUGGGGGAAACCCUGAUCCAGCCAUGCCGCGUGUGUGAAGAAGGCCUUUUGGUUGUAAAGCACUUUAAGCAGUGAAGAAGACUCCGUGGUUAAUACCCACGGACGAUGACAUUAGCUGCAGAAUAAGCACCGGCUAACUCUGUG